GGUUACUGCUAUCGGUGUUCGUCUAAGCCAUGCGAGUCAUAUGUAGCAAUACAUGGCGUACUGCUCAGUAACACGUGGAUAACCUGCCCUUGGGUCCGGCAUAACCCCGGGAAACUGGGGAUAAUUCCGGAUAACGCAUAUAUGCUGGAAUGCUUUCUGCGUAAAAUGGAUUCGUCUGCCCAAGGAUGGGUCUGCGGCCUAUCAGGUAGUAGUGGGUGUAAUGUACCUACUAGCCUACGACGGGUACGGGUUGUGAGAGCAAGAGCCCGGAGAUGGAUUCUGAGACAUGAAUCCAGGCCCUACGGGGCGCAGCAGGCGCGAAAACUUUACAAUGCGGGAAACCGUGAUAAGGGGACACCGAGUGCCAGCAUCCUAUGCUGGCUGUCCGGGUGUGUAAAAUACACCUGUUAGCAAGGGCCGGGCAAGACCGGUGCCAGCCGCCGCGGUAACACCGGCGGCCCGAGUGGUGAUCGUGAUUAUUGGGUCUAAAGGGUCCGUAGCCGGUUUGGUCAGUCCUCCGGGAAAUCUGACAGCUUAACUGUUAGGCUUUCGGAGGAUACUGCCAGACUUGGAACCGGGAGAGGUAAGAGGUACUACAGGGGUAGGAGUGAAAUCUUGUAAUCCCUGUGGGACCACCCGUGGCGAAGGCGUCUUACCAGAACGGGUUCGACGGUGAGGGACGAAAGCUGGGGGCACGAACCGGAUUAGAUACCCGGGUAGUCCCAGCCGUAAACGAUGCUCGCUAGGCGUCAGGCAUGGCGCGACCGUGUCUGGUGCCGCAGGGAAGCCGUGAAGCGAGCCACCUGGGAAGUACGGCCGCAAGGCUGAAACUUAA
Molecule: ribosomal RNA, 835 nt
Filed under: uncultured archaeon
Lineage: Archaea
Description: bacterial SSU rRNA
Rfam family: Archaeal small subunit ribosomal RNA
Source: RNAcentral